CCUACGGGUGGCAGCAGUCGAGAAUCAUUCACAAUGGGGGAAACCCUGAUGGUGUGACGCCGCGUGGGGGAAUGAAGGUCUUCGGAUUGUAAACCCCUGUCAUGUGGGAGCAAAUUAAAAAGAUCGUACCACAAGAGGAAGAGACGGCUAACUCUGUGCCAGCAGCCGCGGUAAUACAGAGGUCUCAAGCGUUGUUCGGAAUCACUGGGCGUAAGGCGUGCGUAGGCUGUUUCGUAAGUCGUGUGUGAAAGGCGCGGGCUCAACCCGCGGACGGCACAUGAUACUGCGAGACUAGAGUAAUGGAGGGGGAACCGGAAUUCGCGGUGUAGCAGUGAAAUGCGUAGAUAUCGAGAGGAACACUCGUGGCGAAGGCGGGUUCCUGGACAUUAACUGACGCUGAGGCACGAAGGCCAGGGGAGCGAAAGGGAUUAGAUACCCCAGUAGUC
Molecule: ribosomal RNA, 446 nt
Filed under: uncultured bacterium
Lineage: Bacteria
Description: partial 16S ribosomal RNA
Rfam family: Bacterial small subunit ribosomal RNA
Source: RNAcentral